Molecule: RNA transcript, 1392 nt
Organism: Felis catus (domestic cat)
Lineage: Eukaryota; Metazoa; Chordata; Mammalia; Carnivora; Felidae
Gene: LIAT1
Gene name: chromosome E1 C17orf97 homolog
Exons: 2
Source: RefSeq, a predicted model, not a curated record
GGUUCCAGGCUCUGAGCUGACAGCACAGAGCCUGAUGUGGGGCUCGAAUCCACCAACCUCCAACCUCGGAGAUCAUGACCUGAGCCGAAGUCAGACACUUCACCGACUGAGCCACCCAGGCGCCGCUCCCAUGCCAGGGUUUCUUCUCCAAGGUCACCUCUCCCCACUCCUCACAGAGAUCCCUCAUCUACUUGCAGGACCACUUCAGACCAGAAACAGAAACUCGCCAGUCCCAAACAGAGGUCCUCCCACUUAACGCAACACAGUGAUGCCCCAGCCCCACCCAUAAAAACCAUAGGUGUCCACAGAGACCCCAAAUCCUGCGUGGAGAAUUCUCUACAGCCUUGGAGACCCUCUACCCCACAGAGACCCCCCACAUAGCAUUAUUCCCACAGAGGGUCCCAGCUCCACACAGCAACUCAGCUUUGCACAGACACCCUCUCAAUUUCCUAAUCCCUCAGCUGGAACUCAGAAUCUUAAAUAUCCCCGCCUUGUCCACAGAAAUUUCAAGCCCUCCUGCAGAGAUCCCCUCAUCUUCACACACACACACACACACACACACACACACACACACACACACACACUUUCCCCAAUCCUAAAAUACUAAGACACUAGUGACCAACAUGCUCAGAAACGCAGGCUUUUGCCUUCUGUCUCAUGUGCUCAGGACACCUGCCCUAGAUGUUAGACAUCCUGUAAAUAUAUAUAAAGUAUCUUUACUGCACAGACUGUCUUCUGCCCACCCCCCCCCCCUUGCCAGGGCCAGCCAUCAGCCACACACACACCAUCACACUAGUCACUGCUACAUACUCUUAUACUCCCCAACACCCUCAACAACAACCCCCUUAUAUCAUUAUAGUCACCAAAUAAAACUCAAGUACAGAUACCCCAUCAGGCACAGCCUUUCCCAGUCUACACAUACACAUGGGUCCUCUGCUACACACACACAUUCAUAAACCCCACCCCACCCCAGACACUUCCUGCACGCAUGUGACUCUAUGCCCUCAGGUUCUGCAGCAUUAUGGACACCUCACAUACAUACACACAGCAACACACGCCACAAUCCCACGGGCUACCUGUAUCUCACAAAUUUCCUCUCCCAGAACCGCCCAUCCCCCCGAUUUCUCAACAGAGGCACUGAGCACCCACGUUAUGGAGAGUGCAACCGUGACAUGGAAUGCACCUGCCUUUGUCACUUGCGUGGUCCCUCUCUGGGGACCGUCCUUGAUCCUGGCACAGCAGCCCUGACCUGCAGCAUGAUAAACAUCAGAGUCGAGGCCUGAAGAAUCAGCAGCUGUCCUCAUCCUUCCACGACAUCUUAAGUCCCCGCAAAGAUCCCGGCCCGAGGCCAGAGCGCAAGCAGGACAAAGCUGAAAGCAAGCCCACGCCCCC